GAUGAAGAACGUAGCGAAAUGCGAUACGUAAUGUGAAUUGCAGAAUUCAGUGAAUCAUCGAAUCUUUGAACGCAUAUUGCGCUCUUUGGUAUUCCGAAGAGCAUGCUUGUUUGAGUAUCAGUAAACACCUCAACCUCUUCUUGAUUUUUCAAAAGGAGGGUGGACUUGAGCUAUCCCAACAACCUUUACCGGUCGGCGGGCGACUUGAAAUGCAGGUGCAGCUGGACUUUUAUCUGAGCUAAAAGCAUAUCUAUUUAGUCCUCGUCAAACAGGAUUAUUACUUUUGCUGCAGCUAACAUAAAGGAUAAUUGUCCUCUUUGCUGACUGAUGCAGGAUUUUACGACACUUUAUGUGUUGUUCAACUCGAUCUCAAAUCAAGUAAGACUACCCGCUGAACUUAAGCAUAUCAAUAAGCGGAGGA
Molecule: unclassified non-coding RNA, 421 nt
Filed under: soil metagenome
Description: partial contains 5.8S ribosomal RNA, internal transcribed spacer 2, and large subunit ribosomal RNA
Rfam family: 5.8S ribosomal RNA (bases 1-120)
Source: RNAcentral